GGCCGUGUUAAGUCAGAUGUAGAAACGGCCCGGGGACCGUUUAACCGUACGGUAAGUUGCUAUUUAGUAAACGUCGGCGAGGCUAGAGUCUUGUAGAGGGGGGUAGGAAUUUCAGGUGUAGCGGUGAAAUGCGUAGAGAUCUGAAGGAAUACCAGUGGCGAAGGCGGCCCCCUGGACAAAGACUGACGCUCAGAUGCGAAAGCGUGGGGAGCAAACAGGAUUAGAUACCCUGGUAG
This 236-nucleotide ribosomal RNA is filed under the name uncultured bacterium. RNAcentral describes it as "partial 16S ribosomal RNA". It matches the Rfam family "Bacterial small subunit ribosomal RNA", at positions 562 to 793 of the family's 1533-position model. The record is from RNAcentral.